Anas platyrhynchos (mallard) is the source of this 2030-nucleotide long non-coding RNA. RefSeq lists it as uncharacterized. Lineage: Eukaryota; Metazoa; Chordata; Aves; Anseriformes; Anatidae. The record is from RefSeq and is a predicted model, not a curated record.
CAGCUGUUGGUAAAAAGGAGAAAAGACCACAUACCCUGAAAUAAAAUAGAGCAAUCGGUUAUCUUGUGGCCAUCUAGCUAACAGAAAGGAUAUACAGAAUUUGUAGGAAGUAAGGCAGUAACCUUCAUAAGGCUUUUUCCUUCAAAAUCAGAAAAACCCCUUCAACCCCCUUCCAUGGAGCUGAGGAGUAAUUGGGGCGUGACGGAGAGCGAGUUGGCAGAGGCCCUCAAAAGAGUGACGUGGGUUUACAUCAAUUUCCAGGGACUUAGGUCAACCUCUGUGCUUGAGGUCCGCAGCGUGGAUGGCUGAUUUGGCAUUAGCUUGCUACCACUGCCUGCUGAACCAGCGGAGGCUGUGUUAUUGCAUCCAGAUGGGGAUACACCUUGAUCUGGUCAGAAGCUGGAGUUACUGCGUGUGCCUCAAGAAGGAAAGAACACGCUUCCUGUGGUAUUUGAAUCCUUUCCAAACUGGGGCUAUUUUCUAGGCGUGUUGUGACUCUCGGCUCCAAAAACCUGAGGGCUGCGUUGUGCCGUGUUUUAUUUUCCACACAUCAUCCUAUGCUGGAUAGCAAGGAAUUCUGGAGCUGCAGCCACAUCCCAAGAUCUGUAUUUGUCUUGGAGAAACAGGGAUUCCUCCCCCCCUUCCUACGGGCAGCAAAUCAAACCCAGCUGUGCAAUUGUAGCCAGAAUAGGCUUUGGAAGAAGCAUGGUCAGGCAUUCGUUCUGCAUGAUUCAAUAAACCAAACAGACUCGAAUUAAGAAUAUAAUGCACAAGGUUGUAUUUCAGAUGCUUGAUCUCGUUCCCUUUCGUGGUUGAAUCUGGACCUGUUUAGAAGCCACACACACCAGCGUGGCAUAGAAAGGGCAGAUGAGAAAGCACAGAGAAAGACUUCUGGAAUCAGCAGAUAGUGUUCUUUGGCUGCGUCGACGGUUAUGCUUUUUACAGCUACUAUUGAAAAAAAGCAUGAGUGCAGAAAGAUUUUUUUUUUUACUGUUGCAAAUAUAUCCUUAGACACUUGCACUCAUUUGCAAAUGGCAUAAAAACAAAAUAUCACAGCUUUUAUUUCUCUCACAGCUAACAAGUCAAAUCAAUUUUUUAAGCAUGCAGAACCAUGUUACGUAGGAGACGGAUACUAUUUCAGCAUAGAGGCAGUGUCUGGGGAAGUUAAAUUCAGCAGUCAUAUAGAAAAGGGGCUUGCAUUCUGCACACAAGGUCAUAGGUUAUUUAUAUUUAAUAUGUGACAUCUGGCAUUUAAAUAAUUUCCUUGGCUAAUUACCAGUGCCUGGGUGAAAUGUGAAACUUCUGCCAUUGGGGAAUUAAAAGGAAAACAAAAACAAAAGUAGAUUGCAGAGCGCUGGAAAGUUUUGUAGGAAAAUUAGGAGUUGUCCUAAUUCAGGCAUCAGAAUACAUGGUAAGAGAAAAUGGAGUAAAAGGGAGUAAUUUGACUGAACUUCAAUAAAUUUUAAGAUUUCUGGGAAAAUUUGCAGCCAUCCUUUUCAGACUCACCAUGCCACGACUGUUCAGUUGCAACACUCCUAUCUAGAUCUCAUGCUCAGCAUUUGAUCAAUGGGGCAUUUGUAAUAACAAGAUCACGAAGUGAAAAAAAAAAAAAGGUUGCCUACAAGGUGUGUGUUGACAAAAACACACCUACAUAAAAAUUUAAUGAGGUCAUAGAGUCUCAUUUAACCAUUUUACAGGUUUCCCCGGGAAGUUUCACUGCUCCCCUAAACUUCCUGCAGCCUUAUUAGUACAUUUCAGUAGAUUUUUCUUCAAUAUGUAUUUUACAUUAAACAAUCAAUGCUUUGCUUUAUUGUUUGUUUAACACUCUGCCAUGUAAAGCAGACAUUACUUCAUAAAGUUUGUUGCUGCUAUAUAUUUCCAUAGUUUUACACAGCGGGGUGGAAUCCCCCCAUUUGGAAGUUACCAUCACACAUUAAAAAGAGCCGAGGGUCUGGAAACCUGGCACCUAGUUGCAUUGCUCUCUCUGCAGAACUUCUAUUCGUAGCAUUUUGCUCUCAGAUCAUCAAGUG